AUUGGGGGGAAGGAGAAAGGAGGAGGAGGUGCAGAAUUGGGGGGCAAGGAGAGAGGGGGUGUUGCAGAAUUGGGGGGCAUAGGAGGAAGGAGGUCCCGAGGUUUGGGGGGGCGAGGAGGAGGGGCAGGAUUUAGGGGGGAAGGAGCAGGGGUGGAGUUUGGGGGGGGGGAGGAGAAAGAGGAGGUGCAGAGUUUAAGGAGGAAGGAGAGAGAGGAGGUGCAGAUUUGGGGGGAGAAGGAGAAAGAGGAGGUGCAGAGUUUUGAGGGGAGAAGGAGAAAGAGGAGGUGCAGAGUUUUGAGGGGAAGGUGGAGAAGGAGGGGCGGAAUUUGGGGGGAAGGAGAAAAGAGGUGCGGAGUUUGGGGGCAAGGAGGAGGAGGUGGUGCGGGAUUGCUGGAGGAAGGAAAGAAGGGGUGCGGGGUUGCAGGAGAAAGAAGAAGGGGUGCGGGAUCGAAGGGGGAAGGAAAGAGGGGGUGCGGGCUUGCAGGAGGAGGGAGGAGGGGGAGGCGGGGGACUGAAGGGGAAGAAAAAGAGGGGGGCCGGGUUCCUGGGGGGGAAAAAGGGGUGCAGGAUUGCGGGAGGGGGUGGGAGAAGGGGGAGGUGCGGGGUUGCAGGGGGAAAAGGGGGUGCGGGGUUGCAGGAGGAGGGAGAAGAAGAAGGAGGAGGUGUGGGCUUGAAGGGGAAGGAAAGAAGGGGUGCAGGGUUGGUGGGGGGAAGGGGGUGCGGGCCUGCAGAGGGGAGAAAAGAGGGGGGGAGGGCCUGCAGGGGGAGGAAGAAAGGGGUGCAGGAUCAAAGGGGAAGGAAAGAGGGGGUGCGGGGCUACAGGGGGAGGAAGAAGGAGGAGGAGGAGUGGGCUUGAAGGGGAAGAAAAGAAGGGGUGCAGGACCGCUGGGGGGGAGAAAGGGGGUGGGAUUGUGGGAGGAAGGAAAGAAGGGGGGCGGGAUUGCAGGGGGAAGAAAAAAGGGGUGCGGGGGUGCAGGAUCAAAGGGGAAGGAAAGAGGGGGUGUGGGCCUGCAGGGGGAAAAGGGGGUGCAGGGGAGGAGGAGGGGGUGCAGGAUCAAAGGGGAGGGAAAGAGGGGUGCAGGGCUGCAGGGGGAAAAAGGGGGUGCAGCGUUGCAGGAGGAGGGGGUGCGGGGCUGCGGGGGGAAGGAAAGAGGGGGUGUGGGCCUGCAGGGGGAAAGAGGGGGUGCAGGAUCAAAGGGGAAGGAAAGAGGGGUGCGGGGCUGCAGGGGGAAAAAAGGGGUGGCUUGUGGUAGGGGGGUGAGGAAAAGGGGGUGCAGGAGUGUUGAGAGAAGGCGCGACCCCCUCCCCCCUUCUCGGCACCCGAUGUAG
This 1329-nucleotide long non-coding RNA is filed under the name Ornithorhynchus anatinus (platypus). RNAcentral describes it as "lncRNA (ENSOANG00000041244.1)". Lineage: Eukaryota; Metazoa; Chordata; Mammalia; Monotremata; Ornithorhynchidae. The record is from RNAcentral.